Molecule: unclassified non-coding RNA, 496 nt
Filed under: uncultured Archaeospora
Lineage: Eukaryota; Fungi; Glomeromycota; Glomeromycetes; Archaeosporales; Archaeosporaceae
Description: SSU rRNA
Rfam family: Eukaryotic small subunit ribosomal RNA
Source: RNAcentral
CCAAUAGCGUAUAUUAAAGUUGUUGCAGUUAAAAAGCUCGUAGUUGAAUUUUGGGUUUGGCCGAUUGGUCCGUUCUUGUAGCGAGUACUGGUCGGUUGGGCCUCACCGCUUGGGGAAGGGUAAUGUCCUUUAUUGGGUGUUGCUCGGAGCCAAGACCUUUACCUUGAAAAAAUUAGAGUGUUUAAAGCGGGCUUAUGCCGGAAUACAUUAGCAUGGAAUAAUAGAAUAGGACAACGAUUCUAUUUUGUUGGUUUCUAGGACCGUUGUAAUGAUUAAUAGGGAUAGUUGGGGGCAUUAGUAUUCAAUUGUCAGAGGUGAAAUUCUUGGAUUUAUUGAAGACUAACUACUGCGAAAGCAUUUGCCAAGGAUGUUUUCAUUAAUCAAGAACGAAAGUUAGGGGAUCGAAGACGAUCAGAUACCGUCGUAGUCUUAACCAUAAACUAUGCCGACUAGGGAUCGGGCGAUGUUGUUUCAAUGACUCGCUCGGCACCUUAUG